This 419-nucleotide ribosomal RNA is filed under the name uncultured bacterium. Its description in RNAcentral is "bacterial SSU rRNA". It matches the Rfam family "Bacterial small subunit ribosomal RNA", at positions 28 to 447 of the family's 1533-position model. The record is from RNAcentral.
GAUGAACGCUGGCGGCGUGCCUAAUACAUGCAAGUCGAACGCGAGCACUUGUGCUCGAGUGGCGAACGGGUGAGUAAUACAUAAGUAACCUGCCCUAGACAGGGGGAUAACUAUUGGAAACGAUAGCUAAGACCGCAUAGGUACGGACACUGCAUGGUGACCGUAUUAAAAGUGCCUCAAAGCACUGGUAGAGGAUGGACUUAUGGCGCAUUAGCUGGUUGGCGGGGUAACGGCCCACCAAGGCGACGAUGCGUAGCCGACCUGAGAGGGUGACCGGCCACACUGGGACUGAGACACGGCCCAGACUCCUACGGGAGGCAGCAGUAGGGAAUAUUGGCACAAUGGGGGAAACCCUGAUGCAGCGACGCCGCGUGAAGGGAUGAAGUAUUUCGGUAUGUAAACUUCUAUCAGCAGGGAAG